RNAcentral lists this ribosomal RNA (549 nucleotides) under bacterium PE03-55G8. RNAcentral describes it as "bacterial SSU rRNA". It matches the Rfam family "Bacterial small subunit ribosomal RNA", at positions 317 to 880 of the family's 1533-position model. The record is from RNAcentral.
GACUGAGACACGGCCCAGACUCCUACGGGAGGCAGCAGUGGGGAAUAUUGGACAAUGGGCGCAAGCCUGAUCCAGCAAUGCCGCGUGGGUGAAGAAGGUCUUCGGAUCGUAAAGCCCUUUCGACAGGGACGAUGAUGACGGUACCUGUAGAAGAAGCCCCGGCUAACUUCGUGCCAGCAGCCGCGGUAAUACGAAGGGGGCUAGCGUUACUCGGAAUUACUGGGCGUAAAGGGUCGCGUAGGCGGCUCGACCAUGUCAGGCGUGAAAUUCCUGGGCUUAACCUGGGGACUGCGCUUGAUACUGUUGGGCUUGAGGCCGAGAGAGGGUGGUGGAAUUCCCAGUGUAGAGGUGAAAUUCGUAGAUAUUGGGAAGAACACCGGUGGCGAAGGCGACCACCUGGCUCGGUACUGACGCUGAGGCGCGACAGCGUGGGGAGCAAACAGGAUUAGAUACCCUGGUAGUCCACGCCGUAAACGAUGUGUGCUGGAUGUUGGGGUCCUCUAGGAUCUCAGUGUCGUAGCCAACGCGGUAAGCACACCGCCUGGGGGU